UACGGGGGGGGCAAGCGUUGUUCGGAAUUACUGGGCGUAAAGGGCGCGUAGGCGGUGCGGUAAGUCACCUGUGAAAUCUCCUGGCUCAACUGGGAGCUUGCAGGCGAAACUGCCGUGCUGGAGUGUGGGAGAGGUGCGUGGAAUUCCUGGUGUAGCGGUGAAAUGCGUAGAUAUCAGGAGGAACACCUGUGGCGAAAGCGGCGCACUGGACCACAACUGACGCUGAGGCGCGAAAGCUAGGGGAGCAAACAGG
Molecule: ribosomal RNA, 253 nt
Filed under: uncultured bacterium
Lineage: Bacteria
Description: partial 16S ribosomal RNA
Rfam family: Bacterial small subunit ribosomal RNA
Source: RNAcentral